GGAUAUGAGGAAUAUAUGGCUGUGACAUCACCCCGUUGAUCAUCGUAAUGGAUUUGGCUCAUCUGGUUGAGGAGGUGGGUGUCCCCUUCCUCCCUCACCACUCCGUGUGUUUCCUUCCCAAAGCUGCACACUUCCUCAGUCUAAGACCAGUGUAUCUCAGUCAAAGACUGCGAUCUAUCUUUCCUGAUAGAGGAGGACUGAAUUUUUUCCUCAAAGGUAUACCAAUAGCUGUGCUCCCUUGCUAGAAUCUCCAAAAAAACUCUCAAGGUCCGUUUGUAGGAGAAGGUAGUGUGGUCACGCUUCCAUAAAUUUAAAACAAAUAAAAAAUGGUAUAU
RNAcentral lists this small nuclear RNA (335 nucleotides) under Vulpes vulpes (red fox). RNAcentral's name for it is "7SK RNA (ENSVVUG00000030318.1)". It matches the Rfam family "7SK RNA". Rfam says of the family: 7SK was discovered as an abundant small nuclear RNA in the mid-70s but a possible function has only recently been suggested. Two independent studies have found that 7SK RNA binds the CDK9/cyclin T complex (known as elongation factor P-TEFb). The record is from Rfam by way of RNAcentral. Lineage: Eukaryota; Metazoa; Chordata; Mammalia; Carnivora; Canidae.